This is a small nuclear RNA of Cynoglossus semilaevis (tongue sole), 190 nucleotides long. Its record names the gene U2. It matches the Rfam family "U2 spliceosomal RNA". From Rfam's summary of the family: U2 is a small nuclear RNA (snRNA) component of the spliceosome (involved in pre-mRNA splicing). The record is from Ensembl. Lineage: Eukaryota; Metazoa; Chordata; Actinopteri; Pleuronectiformes; Cynoglossidae.
AUCGCUUCUCUGCCUUUUGGCUAAGAUCAAGUGUAGUAUCUGUUUAUAUCAGUUUAAUAUCUGAUAUGUCCCCUAUCCGCGGACCAUAUAUUAGUUGACUUUUGGACAAAGGAGAUGGUAUAGGAGCUUGCUCUGACCACUCCACGCAUCGGCCUGGUAUUGCAGUACUUCCGGGAAUGGUGCUCUUUGC